RNAcentral lists this long non-coding RNA (2158 nucleotides) under Ananas comosus (pineapple). RNAcentral's name for it is "long non-coding RNA (ACOM_LNC005488)". The record is from RNAcentral. Lineage: Eukaryota; Viridiplantae; Streptophyta; Magnoliopsida; Poales; Bromeliaceae.
UACCUGUACCCCAAAACCACACGGGGUGAGAACUAUAUAAAUAUAGUUCCCAGUGGGUUCGGCCGCCGACUCCGCCGAUCUUCCCACUAGGUCCAAGCUGGCACAGAUAGAUAGAUAGAAAGAUAUAUGGAAAUACUACUACUAUAUCUACUAUGCCAUCAAAUGCAAAGUAUGCAUGGAACAUCAUCUAGCAACAAUCUACUAUCAUGCUAAUAUGCCUCAACAGUGAAAUAAAUACAACAACAACAUAGUUAUGCAAUGCACUAUGUCUAAUCAAGGUAUGAAUGCAAUACUCUUAUGCUAUUCAUGUUAUUACCCAAUCCGCUAGGCUAACUUGCCUAAGAUCUCAAAUCUAGUAGGUGAAGAGCUACCUCACUCUUGUCUCACUCGACUCAUAUCUCAAAGGUCUGACCCAAUCUCGUGAGUCCCAGGCAAAGAGCUACCCCGCCCCUCGCCCGACUCACAUCUCAAGGUCCUAGGCAAAGGCUACCCCGCACUUUGCCCGACUCACAUCUCGACCUACUAGGUACAGGGCUACUCCACUCAAAUCUCAUAGGUGAACAACAACAACAACUAUGGAAGCAAGCUAUCAUGAACAACAAUAAUGAGUAUGACUCAAUAGGUACUCAAAUCUCAUAGGUGAACAACAACAACAACUAUGGAAGCAAGCUAUCAUGAACAACAAUAAUGAGUAUGACUCAAUAGGUACUCAAAUCUCAUAGGUGAAGGAAUAGUAUAUCAUGAAGGCAUGAGCAAUAAGUAAGCUACUAUGAACACUAGUAAGCUACUAUGAACAACAACAACAACUAUGGAAGCAAGCUAUCAUGAACAACAAUAAUGAGUAUGACUCAAUAGGUACUCAAAUCUCAUAGGUGAAGGAAUAGUAUAUCAUGAAGGCAUGAGCAAUAAGUAAGCUACUAUGAACACUAGUAAGCUACUAUGAACAACAACAACAACUAUGGAAGCAAGCUAUCAUGAACAACAAUAAUGAGUAUGACUCAAUAGGUAACCAAAUCUCGUGGUGAACACAAGGUUCACAAGCAAGGCUCACAUAUCAAUCUCCGAGGGAUGCCUAGCUGGUCGAUCCCCGAGUACGCCUGCGGAUAACAAGCGGCUAUCCGAGCAGCAAGCAGGGCUGCCUCUCUAGUGACCAAACUCCGGAGCGCACAACUUGAGGGGAGCGACCCCACCAAGCGCAGACAGGCAAUGUGAGCGUGAUCAUCUCACGAGCAACAGCAACCUACCCUCUAAGGGUAAUCUCAUCAUGGAAUCAAGGUGUUCUUGUACCCAAUCUCAUAGUGUUUCAACUACACUAAGGUUCUCAUGUCAAGGUUAUCAACAAUCAUAUGCCACUCAUCAUAGUUUUCUAAACUAGAUGCCACUCGACAUUUAGACUCAUUUCAACACUAGUUACAUCAUACUAGUUCUUUAGCAACAUAAGCAUUAAUCACCUCACAUAGGGUCUAGGUCUUUAUCAUAAAGUUUUCAUCAUAUAAUCAUCAUGCAUACUAGAUCAUGGAUCAAUCAUCAAGAUGUAUAGCUACUAGCAUGCAAAUAUGAGCAAUGACCACAAUCAUUUAGCAUCUAAAUGCAAUAAAUACAAUAUGCAACUUAAUCGAUUAAUGCACUCAACAAAGUUUAAUCCACAUUAAUCAUGCCCUUAUAGGGUUUCACCACACUAAGUCCCAAUCUCAUGCAUACUAGGUACAAGUAUUAAUCAAGUAACACUACACUCCCACUAGCAUGCCAUGACAUGUAACAAUUGCCAACUAGUACCCUAUAAUGCAAUAUCCCAAUAUGCAACUUGAUCAACGUUAACUAGAGUUUCUAGUACAACAACCAAUCCAUUACUAGUUCAAGUCAUAUGUGUUUUUAGCACAAUAAGUUCAAUGCCACUUGUAAACUAUGUCUUUAAACACAACACUAGGUUCUUCUCUCAUUUAGCAUCAUAGGUUUACCAAUGUCAUCUCAUAAUCCUUAUGUUCAUUACAUCAUAUAUCCAUAUCAUAGUACUAUAUUGAUCAUAAACAUCAUAUAAGGAUUAGGAAUGUAUGUAUUGUCAUCCUAUAAUGCGAGGUAUCGAUAUACAAUAUGCUACAUGUGAAUGGAUAAGCACUAAGACAUAGGAAGAAGCCCGAUUGCUUCGGGAUGGCACUCC